Long non-coding RNA from Oncorhynchus gorbuscha (pink salmon), 1006 nucleotides. RefSeq lists it as uncharacterized. The record is from RefSeq and is a predicted model, not a curated record. Lineage: Eukaryota; Metazoa; Chordata; Actinopteri; Salmoniformes; Salmonidae. The transcript has 5 exons.
GUCAGUACCCUGUCUAUCCCACCAGAAGUUUGAGAGGGUGAAGACUGUGGCGCUGGAAUUGAAGAGCAUCAAAGUUGUUUCACCAUGGCACAUGAUCGGGGUUGACCUCAUCAGACCUUUCAUGAAAUCCAGGAAUGGCAACAGCUAGUGAAGACAUAGCUAAAGGGUACUUGACGAGACUGGCGAUGCCACAUCCAAGGCAAUGAGGGACAUCUUCAACACCUACGGUUUUCUUGAGGUCAUGAAUGCUGGAACAAGUGUCAGUAGAUAUGCCUACUCUCUCCUCCAAGUUUGGUGAAUGGACCAAGCAGACCAUGGGCAAGUCCCUUGGCGGCUACCAGGAACGGUGGGAGAACAACCCAAAAGUAAUUCUCUUUGCACACAACAGCAGCGUCCAGGCCUCCACCGAGUAUGGACGGAAGCCGCAGCUGUUGACUGAGGUGGACAAUGCAAUUGUAUUUACAAUUAUUGCAUAUACUGUAGUCUUUCAAAUAUGUGACUGACUUAGUGCUGUUGUUUGUCUAUUGCUUUUUUUGUAUAACGUACUUUCAGAUCACUGAAACCCCACCUGAUGUGGUGGAAGAUGUCGAACCAGAUCAGAACGCCUCCGUUUUUGACCAGAUUAAAAUUAUUUUAUGCUGUAAAAAAAUGUCUGUCCCUCCAAGAGAUAUGUAAGAAAUGCAUUUGUAAUAUGAAAUAUAAUUGCAUUUAUUGCUGUUAUCAAUCAAGGUGAGACUGAACAUUGACAAGGCACAGGAGAAACAGAGCUACCGGAGCAGAAUCAAGAAGGGGACCAAGUGCUACGACAUCCGGGCAAAUUGCUUGGUUUGUAAGCAGGAGGAUGGAAGGCAAGACCUGGGAAACCUUGCUGCUUAUUCUCUCCUAGCUGUGGUCACCAUAUGUUAAGGGUUACCUCGGUGGAAGCCAACAAUCUUCUCCAGUUGGAGCAGUUGGGGGGUCAACCACUGAAAGCCCUGACACCCUACACUUCGGUGAAUCCCAAUAA